UCUAGUACGGCGAGUGAGCGGCAACAGCUCAAAUUUGAAAUCUGGCCCUCGGGUCCGAGUUGUAAUUUGUAGAGGAUGCUUUUGGUGAGGUACCUUCCGAGUUCCCUGGAACGGGACGCCAUAGAGGGUGAGAGCCCCGUCUGGUUGGAUACCGAUCCUCUGUAAAGCUCCUUCAACGAGUCGAGUAGUUUGGGAAUGCUGCUCUAAAUGGGAGGUAUAUGUCUUCUAAAGCUAAAUAUUGGCCAGAGACCGAUAGCGCACAAGUAGAGUGAUCGAAAGAUGAAAAGCACUUUGAAAAGAGAGUUAAAAAGUACGUGAAAUUGUUGAAAGGGAAGCGCUUAUGACCAGACUUGGGCUUGGUUGAUCAUCCUGGGUUCUCCCUGGUGCACUCUUCCAGUUCAGGCCAGCAUCAGUUCGUCGCGGAGGAUAAAGACUUUAGGAAUGUGGCUCCCCCGGGAGUGUUAUAGCCUAUUGUGUAAUACUCUGCUUUGGACUGAGGUUCGCGCAUCUGCAAGGAUGCUGGCGUAAUGGUCAUCAGCGACCCGUCU
This 548-nucleotide ribosomal RNA is filed under the name Cylindrocladiella peruviana. Its description in RNAcentral is "eukaryotic LSU rRNA". It matches the Rfam family "Eukaryotic large subunit ribosomal RNA", at positions 79 to 654 of the family's 3401-position model. Lineage: Eukaryota; Fungi; Ascomycota; Sordariomycetes; Hypocreales; Nectriaceae. The record is from RNAcentral.